UGCACACAGCGCAAUGUGCUGUGAGGCGGAAAAAUCUCUGCAGACACCCUUCUCCCCUCAGCUGCGCUACUCAGUAAGGAGACAGCGGGAGCAGCGGCGGACAGGGCAGUGACUUAUCACAAUCCGCGGUGCAGCUACAGCUCCGGAGGCCACGGGAGACUGCAGGAUGGCGGCCCAGUGAAGACCCCUGGAUGCAGGCGGUGAUGUGACACAAGAGAGAAGCCAGGCUGUCCGACACCAACUGGAUGUUGACUAAUCUUUGCCAUAAUUUUUUUUGUUUGUUUGUCAAAAAGUGUUGCUUAUUUACUUAUUUUUUUUAUGUGCUAACGAAAAAAAGUUUAACUUUGAAAAUUUUUGAAAAGUAAAGUUUUAUAAAACUAUAA
Molecule: long non-coding RNA, 383 nt
Organism: Pseudophryne corroboree (corroboree frog)
Lineage: Eukaryota; Metazoa; Chordata; Amphibia; Anura; Myobatrachidae
Exons: 2
Source: RefSeq, a predicted model, not a curated record